Molecule: ribosomal RNA, 301 nt
Filed under: uncultured bacterium
Lineage: Bacteria
Description: partial 16S ribosomal RNA
Rfam family: Bacterial small subunit ribosomal RNA
Source: RNAcentral
CAGUAGCCGCGGGAAUACGUAGGUGGCAAGCGUUGUCCGGAAUUAUUGGGCGUAAAGGGCUCGCAGGCGGUUUCUUAAGUCUGAUGUGAAAGCCCCCGGCUCAACCGGGGAGGGUCAUUGGAAACUGGGAAACUUGAGUGCAGAAGAGGAGAGUGGAAUUCCACGUGUAGCGGUGAAAUGCGUAGAGAUGUGGAGGAACACCAGUGGCGAAGGCGACUCUCCGGUCUGUAACUGACGCUGAGGAGCGAAAGCGUGGGGAGCGAACAGGAUUAGAUACCCGUGUAGUCCCUGUCUCUUAUAC